CUUUUUUUUUCUCUCUCUCUCUCUUUCUCUUUCUCUCUCCUUUUUUCAUUACUCUCUCCGGAACAAAUUCUUUGAGAGAAAGGGAGAGAGAGAGAGAGAGAAAAACAGAAAGAUAUAUAAAACAUCUGAGUUAAUAGCUAGAUAAAUGAUAAGUUAUAUGUAUUUAUCAUUCAAAUAAUAAAAAACCGAAAUUGAGAAAUAGAAAGGAUAAAUGACAGUGUUUAAGAUAAAAAAAACGUUAGUCUGUCUAUUCCUAUUCACUCAGAAAGAAAGUAAGAGAGAGUGU
This 286-nucleotide non-coding RNA is filed under the name uncultured Mallomonas. Lineage: Eukaryota; Synurophyceae; Synurales; Mallomonadaceae. The record is from RNAcentral.